RNAcentral lists this ribosomal RNA (301 nucleotides) under uncultured bacterium. RNAcentral's name for it is "partial 16S ribosomal RNA". It matches the Rfam family "Bacterial small subunit ribosomal RNA", at positions 509 to 808 of the family's 1533-position model. The record is from RNAcentral.
CAGUAGCCGCGGUAAUACGUAGGGGGCGAGCGUUGUCCGAAUUUACUGGGCGUAAAGAGCAUUAAGGCGGAUUUUUAAGUGAGAGGUGAAAGGUUCAGGGCUCAACCCGGACACUGCCUUUCAUACUGGGAAUCUUGAGUGCGGGAGAGGCGAGUGGAAUUUCUGGUGUAGCGGUGAAAUGCGUAGAUAUCAGGAGGAACACCCAUGGCGAAGGCAGCUCGCUGGCCUGCAACUGACGCUGUAGUGCGAAAGCGUGGGGAGCGAACAGGAUUAGAGACCCCCGUAGUCCCUGUCUCUUAUA